Molecule: long non-coding RNA, 1033 nt
Filed under: Mytilus galloprovincialis (Mediterranean mussel)
Lineage: Eukaryota; Metazoa; Mollusca; Bivalvia; Mytilida; Mytilidae
Source: RNAcentral
UUUUAAAUAAACUAGAGGCUCUAAAGAGCCUGUGUCGCUCACCUUGGUCUAUGUGAAUAUUAAACAAAGCAAGAAGAUGGAUUCAUGACAAAAUUGUGUUUUGGUGAUGAUGUGUUUGUACAUCUUACUUUACUGAACAUUCUUGCUGCUUACAAUUAUCUCUAUCUAUAAUGAACUUGGCCCAGUAGUUUCAGUAAAAAAUGUUUGUAAAAAUUUACAAAUUUUAUGAAAAUUGUUAAAAAUUGACUAUAAAGGACAAUAACUCCUUAGGGGGUCAAUUGACCAUUUCAGUCAUGUUGACUUAUUUGUAAAUCUUACUUUGCUGUACAUUAUUGCUGUUUAAAGUUUAUCUCUAUCUAUAAUAAUAUUCAAGAUAAUAACCCAAAACAGUAAAAUUUCCUUAAAAUUACCAAUUUAGGGGCAGCAACCCAACAACGGGUUGUCCGAUUCAUCCGAAAUUUCAGGGCAGAUAGAUUUGACCUGAUAAACAAAUUCAACCCAAUGUCAGAUUUGCUCUAAAUGCUUUGGUUUUUGAGUUAUAAGCCAAAAACUGCAUUUUACCCCUAUGUUCUAUUUUUAGCCAUGGCAGCCAUCUUGGUUGGAUGGCCAGGUCACCGGACACAUUUUUUAAACUAGAUACCCCAAAGAUGAUUGUGGCCAAGUUUGGAUUAAUUUGGCCCAGUAGUUUCAGAGAAGAAGAUUUUUGUAAAAGAUUACUAAGAUUUACGAAAAAUGGUUAAAAAUUGACUAUAAAGGGCAAUAACUCCUUCAAGGGGUCAACUGACCAUUUUGGUCAUGUUGACUUAUUUGUAAAUCUUACUUUGCUGAACAUUAUUGCUGUUUACAGUUUAUCUCUAUCUAUAAUAAUAUUCAAGAUAAUAACCAAAAACAGCAAAAUUUCCUUAAAAUUACCAAUUCAGGGGCAGCAACCCAACAACAGGUUGUCCGAUUCAUCUGAAAAUUUCAGGGCAGAUAGAUCUUGACCUGAUAAACAAUUUUUACCGAUGUCAGAUUUGCUCUAAAUGCUUUGGUU